RNAcentral lists this ribosomal RNA (1019 nucleotides) under uncultured bacterium. RNAcentral describes it as "bacterial SSU rRNA". It matches the Rfam family "Bacterial small subunit ribosomal RNA", at positions 355 to 1375 of the family's 1533-position model. The record is from RNAcentral.
UGAGGAAUAUUGGUCAAUGGGCGUAAGCCUGAACCAGCCAAGUAGCGUGAGGGAAGACUGCCCUAUGGGUUGUAAACCUCUUUUGUGCGGGGAUAAAGUGUGGGACGUGUCCCAUAUUGCAGGUACCGCACGAAUAAGGACCGGCUAAUUCCGUGCCAGCAGCCGCGGUAAUACGGAAGGUCCGGGCGUUAUCCGGAUUUAUUGGGUUUAAAGGGAGCGCAGGCCGUCCUUUAAGCGUGCUGUGAAAUGCCGCGGCUCAACCGUGGCACUGCAGCGCGAACUGGAGGACUUGAGUACGCACGAGGUAGGCGGAAUUCGUGGUGUAGCGGUGAAAUGCUUAGAUAUCACGAAGAACUCCGAUUGCGAAGGCAGCUUACCGGAGCGCAACUGACGCUGAGGCUCGAAAGCGCGGGUAUCGAACAGGAUUAGAUACCCUGGUAGUCCGCGCGGUAAACGAUGGAUGCCCGCCGUUGGGAUUUAGAUUUCAGCGGCCAAGCGAAAGCGUUAAGCAUCCCACCUGGGGAGUACGCCGGCAACGGUGAAACUCAAAGGAAUUGACGGGGGCCCGCACAAGCGGAGGAACAUGUGGUUUAAUUCGAUGAUACGCGAGGAACCUUACCCGGGCUUGAAUUGCAGGAGAACGAUCCAGAGAUGGUGAGGCCCUUCGGGGCUCCUGUGAAGGUGCUGCAUGGUUGUCGUCAGCUCGUGCCGUGAGGUGUCGGCUCAAGUGCCAUAACGAGCGCAACCCCUGUCCAUAGUUGCCAUCAGGUCGUGCUGGGCACUCUGUGGAGACUGCCGCCGUAAGGUGUGAGGAAGGUGGGGAUGACGUCAAAUCAGCACGGCCCUUACGUCCGGGGCUACACACGUGUUACAAUGGGGCAUACAGCGAGUUGGAUGUGCGCAAGUACGUCCGGAUCAAUAAAGUGCCUCUCAGUUCGGACUGGGGUCUGCAACCCGACCCCACGAAGCUGGAUUCGCUAGUAAUCGCGCAAAAGCCAUGGCGCGGUGAAUACGUUCCC